Rhododendron vialii is the source of this 635-nucleotide long non-coding RNA. RefSeq lists it as uncharacterized. The record is from RefSeq and is a predicted model, not a curated record. The transcript is spliced from 2 exons. Lineage: Eukaryota; Viridiplantae; Streptophyta; Magnoliopsida; Ericales; Ericaceae.
UAGGGCCCGCCGAGAUAGACGGUGCGGAUAUUUGGUGUGGCGUAUUCAUGGAAUGAUAGAAGGGUAAUUGAGGGAGUGGUGCACGUGUGAGUGUGUGGUGUGAGAAGUAGGGGAUUAUUCCCCCACCUCUAUUAUUUCUCACGGAGGAGAAAUAUAUCUCAUUCUCUUUCUUUCUCACUCUCGGCAGUCUCUCCCUCUCCCUCUCCAUCCGAAAACCCUCCCUCUCUUCUCUCUUCGAUUUCAACCCUUUAGAGCGUGAUUCCGGACGAAGCCCAAGAAUUAAAGUUGCUAUUCGGAGCACGGGCUUUCCGAAUAUCUAAGAAAAAUCUUGAUCGGAUCGCGUGGGAGCUCAGUUGACUUGGUCAAAGGGUCGGGUUUUGCUCAAAACCCAUGAGGUGCACUACAGGGAUAGAGUCUUGGAGGGUGUGGAGUGCAUGCAGACAUCACAGGCUAAAGUUAUUAUUUGAAGUAUUGUCUUUUUUCGUAAAUCAAACUGCAUUGUACUAUUCUCUAUUUUGGAAUACUAUAUCAGUUGACAAAUUUGUGAGAUUCAGAAAUUGUAUUGCAAUUUGGGGUACUAUAUGUACUUUUGUGAGGAUUUGUAUUUAAAAUGGUAUUGUUAUUUAUGUUAAAAA